GACUAAAUAUAAGAGGUCCAGCCUGCCCAGUGACAAAAAUUUAACGGCCGCGGUACUCUAACCGUGCGAAGGUAGCAUAAUCACUUGUUCUUUAAAUGAGGACCUGUAUCAACGGCAUCACGAGGAUUUUACUGUCUCCCUCUUUUAAUCAGUGAAACUGAUCUCCCCGUGAAGAAGCGGGGAUAAUUAUAUAAGACGAGAAGACCCCAUGGAGCUUUAAACCCAGCAACACCUAUUUUUUAUAAGCCUUUAUAUUGACUUAAUUUCUGUUUGCUCGUUUUAGGUUGGGGUGACCGCGGAGCACAAUAAAUCCUCCACGAAAAAAAGACUAACAAUCUUUAUCCAAGAAACACACAUCUAAGAAUUAACAUACUAACUUUUAAUGAUCCGUUAUUCGAUCAACGAACUAAGUUACCCUGGGGAUAACAGCGCAAUCUACCUCGAGAGCUCCUAUCGACAGGUGGGUUUACGACCUCGAUGUUGGAUCAGGGUGUCCCAGUGGUGCAGCAGCUACUAAAGGGUUCGUUUGUUCAACGAUUAAAACCCUACGUGAUCUGA
This 558-nucleotide ribosomal RNA is filed under the name Boophis erythrodactylus. RNAcentral's name for it is "partial 16S ribosomal RNA". It matches the Rfam family "Bacterial large subunit ribosomal RNA", at positions 1837 to 2608 of the family's 2925-position model. The record is from RNAcentral. Lineage: Eukaryota; Metazoa; Chordata; Amphibia; Anura; Mantellidae.